UUGAACGCUGGCGGCAUGCUUUACACAUGCAAGUCGAACGGUAACAGGGAGCUUGCUCCGCUGACGAGUGGCGAACGGGUGAGUAAUGCAUCGGAACGUACCCAGUCGUGGGGGAUAACGUAGCGAAAGUUACGCUAAUACCGCAUACGUCCUGAGGGAGAAAGCGGGGGACCGUAAGGCCUCGCGCGAUUGGAGCGGCCGAUGUCGGAUUAGCUAGUUGGUGGGGUAAAGGCCUACCAAGGCGACGAUCCGUAGCGGGUCUGAGAGGAUGAUCCGCCACACUGGGACUGAGACACGGCCCAGACUCCUACGGGAGGCAGCAGUGGGGAAUUUUGGACAAUGGGGGCAACCCUGAUCCAGCCAUGCCGCGUGAGUGAAGAAGGCCUUCGGGUUGUAAAGCUCUUUCGGCAGGAACGAAACGGUGGAGGCUAAUACCUUUCAUCAAUGACGGUACCUGAAGAAGAAGCACCGGCUAACUACGU
Molecule: ribosomal RNA, 482 nt
Filed under: uncultured bacterium
Lineage: Bacteria
Description: bacterial SSU rRNA
Rfam family: Bacterial small subunit ribosomal RNA
Source: RNAcentral